Molecule: ribosomal RNA, 253 nt
Filed under: uncultured Haliangium sp.
Lineage: Bacteria; Pseudomonadati; Myxococcota; Haliangiales; Kofleriaceae
Description: partial 16S ribosomal RNA
Rfam family: Bacterial small subunit ribosomal RNA
Source: RNAcentral
UACGGAGGGUGCAAACGUUGCUCGGAAUUAUUGGGCGUAAAGCGCACGUAGGCGGCCUGUUAUGUCCGGUGUGAAAUCCCUCGGCUUAACUGAGGAAGUGCAUUGGAAACUGGCAGGCUCGAGUACAGAAGAGGAUCGCGGAAUUCCCGGUGUAGAGGUGAAAUUCGUAGAUAUCGGGAGGAACACCAGUGGCGAAGGCGGCGACCUGGGCUGAUACUGACGCUGAGGUGCGAAAGCGUGGGGAGCAAACAGG